AUGGAGGCGGACGAGCUCCUGAAGAAGAUACGGGCGCUGGAGGAGGGGCAGGCGGAGCUCAAGCGGGAGGUGGGCAGGCUCAUGCCGGACCGCCGCGCCGCGGCCCGGCGACGCGCCCUCCGCGCGCUGCUGCCGCCGCCGCCGCGGCCCUCCUCGUCGUCGCGGCGCGUCGCGGCCCGCGGCAGGCUGCCCGACAGGCACUGCCACUGGAUACUGCAGUCGCUGGGGCAGGCCGUGCACAUCAUCGCCCCUGACGGGAAGCUCCUGUACUGGAACCGGUAUGCUGAGCAUAUGUAUGGCUAUACUGCAGCAGAGGCAGUUGGUCGGAAUGCCGUCGAAUUAAUUGUUCAUCCUACUGACUUCGAUUCAGCAAAAAUCAUCAUCCAGAAUAUAUUUAUGGGCAAGUGUUGGAGAGGGAGGUUUCCUGUUAAGAACAAAGCAGGAGAGAGGUUUUUUAUUUCUGUCCACAACACCCCUUUGUACGAUGACGAUGGUAGCUUGGUGGGCCUCAUCUGUCUCUCGCUUGAUGUACGGGCAUUAGAGGAGAUAUUUAGUCCCUCGGACUCGGCAGAAUCCUAUCAAAGUACAGCAAAGCACCGGUUUCAUGCCAACAACCGGCCUACAAGUGGUUCAGUAAACAAAGGUUCUCUUCACUCCCAGCAACCUCCUCAAUCUGCUGUCACCUCCAAGAUAGUAACUUUGGCUACCAGCGUUACAAGUAGAGUUCGUUCUCGGAUAAGGAUAGGUCAGAAUAGCGACAAACUGUAUGGUGGUGGCUGUGAGGGCCAGUAUUCUCAACUUGAUCUCCAGGCCGAGGUGGCAUCAAGUGAAGAAAACACCCCAAGUGGGGAUGUAGUGCAUGGUGCCUUUGCGGCCCAAGAGAAAUCCCUUGGCAAGUCGAGCAAAACAAGUAGUGAUGACCCAGGAGAAGGAAAAGUAGGGUCCUACAAGAUUUUUCGUUCGAAGGCUGAGGCAUUAUUGGCAAAGAAGGGCAUAUCAUGGCCUUGGAGAGGGCAUGAAAAUGAUGGGGGUUCUGGAAAGAAUAACGUGAACUCAACACAGUUGCAGGAUAAGCAGGAGAAUGACCAGAGUCAUCAGAAAGUUCCAGUUCUAGAGCCUAUCAUAAUUCCAGACUGCCAAAGCAGCGAAGACACUUGGGCUACGAAAUAUGAGGUCUCAGGUUCCUGGUGGGAUUUCAACAAGAACAACACGAGUAGCAUGAGCAGCACUGGGAGUACUGAUAGCAGUGGUAUCGAGAGAGUAGAUUAUGAAGCAGACUGCCUAGAUUAUGAGAUUCUCUGGGAAGACCUAGUAAUUGGAGAACAAGUAGGUCAAGGUUGUUGCGGAACAGUGUAUCAUGCUUUGUGGUAUGGCUCGGACGUGGCAGCUAAAGUAUUCUCCAAGCAGGAAUAUUCAGAAGAAAUGAUAAAUACCUUCAGACAAGAGGUAUCAUUGAUGAAGAAGCUACGACAUCCCAAUAUAAUACUUUUCAUGGGUGCAGUUGCUUCGCAGGAACGACUUUGUAUUGUUACUGAAUUUCUGCCACGCGGGAGUUUGUUUCGGUUGCUUCAGAGUAACAUUGGCAAGCUGGAUCCAAGACGGAGAGUUAACAUGGCUAUUGACAUUGCAAGGGGCAUGAAUUAUCUUCACAGUUCCAUCCCAACUGUUGUUCACCGUGAUUUGAAAUCACCAAACCUUUUGGUUGAUAAGAAUUGGACUGUAAAGGUUGCAGACUUUGGUCUUUCACGUCUGAAACUCGAAACAUUUCUGUCAACAAAAACUGGAAAGGGAACACCGCAGUGGAUGGCUCCGGAGGUGCUACGGAGUGAACCUUCAAAUGAAAAGUCUGAUGUAUUCAGCUAUGGAGUGGUCCUGUGGGAGCUUGCUACUCAGAAGAUCCCCUGGGAUACUCUCAAUACAAUGCAGGUUAUCGGAGCCGUGGGUUUCAUGGAUCACAGACUGGAAAUACCAAGCGACGUGGAUCCUCAGUGGGCAUCAAUGAUCGAGAGCUGUUGGGAAAGUGAACCGCAACGCCGCCCUUCGUUCCGAGAACUUCUCGAGAGGCUCCAGGGGCUGCAGAAGCAGUACACGGUCCAGGCGCAGACGGAGCGGAAAGCGGCUGGGAAAGGUGCUCGAAAGGCGAGCGUCAAAGAUGAUGGCUGA
RNAcentral lists this ribosomal RNA (2163 nucleotides) under Triticum aestivum (bread wheat). Its description in RNAcentral is "partial small subunit ribosomal RNA". The record is from RNAcentral. Lineage: Eukaryota; Viridiplantae; Streptophyta; Magnoliopsida; Poales; Poaceae.